CUCGUAAGGGUUGUAUGGGGAAGCGCUACAGGAGGAAAUAUGACUUGGGAGUUGGAAAGCAUGAUGCGAGAGUCAUAUCCAGAGUUUUUCGCCUCAAGUAAUUUUUGAGGACGAAAAUAUUCUAAGUGGGGGAGAGUUGCAACUCCCCGAUUUUAUUCAAAUUAUUUUUCAUAAUUUUAUUAUGUGAUAAUUGUAGUUGUGUUGUGUUGAUUGGUGUUUUGAUGUGUUGUGUUACCCUUGGUGUG
RNAcentral lists this long non-coding RNA (245 nucleotides) under Lathyrus oleraceus (garden pea). RNAcentral describes it as "Pisum sativum (pea) long non-coding RNA (PSAT_LNC009575)". Lineage: Eukaryota; Viridiplantae; Streptophyta; Magnoliopsida; Fabales; Fabaceae. The record is from RNAcentral.